CUCGUGUCGUGAGAUGUUGGGUUAAGUCCCGCAACGAGCGCAACCCCUAUUGUUAGUUGCCAUCAUUCAGUUGGGCACUCUAGCGAGACUGCCGGUAAUAAACCGGAGGAAGGUGGGAUGACGUCAAAUCAUCAUGCCCCUUAUGACCUGGGCUACACACGUGCUACAAUGGUUGGUACAACGAGUUGCGAGUCGGUGACGGCGAGCUAAUCUCUUAAAGCCAAUCUCAGUUCGGAUUGUAGGCUGCAACUCGCCUACAUGAAGUCGGAAUCGCUAGUAAUCGCGGAUCAGCACGCCGCGGUGAAUACGUUCCCGGGCCUU
RNAcentral lists this ribosomal RNA (321 nucleotides) under uncultured Streptococcus sp. Its description in RNAcentral is "bacterial SSU rRNA". It matches the Rfam family "Bacterial small subunit ribosomal RNA", at positions 1059 to 1382 of the family's 1533-position model. Lineage: Bacteria; Bacillati; Bacillota; Bacilli; Lactobacillales; Streptococcaceae. The record is from RNAcentral.